ACGACCUUACUUGAACAGGAUCUUUCCUAUAGGAUCGUACCUCUGCAUCCUUGAUUUCUAAGGAGACAGGAACUUAAGCUUGGUGGAUGAAUCGUGACCGUGCGAUCAGAGCGUGAUUGUUGACAGCUUCGAUGAUCCUAUUCGUAGGAUACAUCCAGUGGUAGAGGAUCGUUCUCAGUCUUCUUUGAACGGCUGUGAUGGUCGCACGGUUGUCUGACAAGCC
This is a small nucleolar RNA of Cornus florida, 223 nucleotides long. RefSeq annotates it as small nucleolar RNA U3. The transcript has a single exon. NCBI's taxonomy places the organism in Eukaryota, Viridiplantae, Streptophyta, Magnoliopsida, Cornales, Cornaceae. The record is from RefSeq and is a predicted model, not a curated record.